Molecule: long non-coding RNA, 1321 nt
Filed under: Coccomyxa subellipsoidea
Lineage: Eukaryota; Viridiplantae; Chlorophyta; Trebouxiophyceae; Coccomyxaceae
Description: long non-coding RNA (CSUB_LNC000241)
Source: RNAcentral
ACACACUUUGGGGCAGAUUGUAGAACAAAGUUCAGGCAUCAUGUGAGGUAAUAUUUUCCCUGUGAUAUGGCAAGCACGUUCUGGAGUCAAAAUUGUGCCUGCAAAACCAUCCUGUAGAUGAUGGUGUUGCGAUGAUCUUCGAAAGAUCCACCCUCAACUUUGACAGGGGAAAAAGUGGGUAGCCCUGCACUCUUGGUCUUGUGAAGCUUUGCAAUCACAUCUUCAGCUGUCAAUACGAAUAAUAGGAGAUCGAAGGAUCAGAGUUGGAGGCGUCCUACCAUUGUGGACCCCUCCUUAGUUAACCUUCGAAUAGCAACGCAUGUCUGAUGCCGGGGUUCCCUGGCUAUUCAGAUUGCUGCCUUUUCCAUGAAUGCAUCAGAGCUCGACUUCACAGUCCUUUCAAUGCUCGAGGCUUUGGCUAGGCAGCUUCACUACAGCACUACAGAACACACACAGCUCGCAACAGAGGAAGCUGGUGGUUUAUAAUCAGUACCCUACGUUUUCGCAGGUGGCUAUGGUCGUCUUGUCGACCAUGACACUUUUCUGAGCGCCGCGUUGCUCUCUGGGCAAAUCCGUCACAGUGAGGGCUAUAGCCUGCCUGCAGGCUAGCACCUGUACUUCAACUGGUGAGCUGCUGACUCCUUGCUCAUUGCCUGCCAAUGUGGCCAAUUGUGAGUGUGUAAUGCAAAACAGCCAGGGACAACUUGUUCAGGGAUGGAGACUUUUGCAAAACAUGAGGUGGUGCUUGACAAACGGGGGUUGGGAUUUGUCUGGGAACCCCACCUUUGUGUAUACAAUCAACCUACAAAUUUUGUGUAUAUAAACCAGCAGGACCAAGCAGAUACGUAUCUGCAUGGUCCUGCUCUUCUCUGUAUUCGUAUGUGUAAUAUGCUGUGUGACUCUGCUAUAGCGGUUGCGCAACAUUGCAUGCAUUGUUGUGGUAUAUAUUUCAAUGUAACGGUGGUAUACCUUAGACGGCAGGGCAUCUGAAUGUAAAGUAGUCUUCCUUUGCACCUGUGCUGGGACAAUAUGCAGACUAGAAAUGGUGGACUAAUGCACAUAAGCAGUCCAUGUGUGUCUGCGUACUAUCGCCCUAAGUCUGGCCACCAGUGCACUGGUGCAGUUAAGGCAUCAGCACGUCCAAGUAGCAGUGUGACAAGGUCUUUGACUGCAUUUAUCAUAGUGCAAUAGAUUCGUUUGCCCUACUCAUGGCGCUCGCUCUGCUUUGUAUGUUUUGCAGUGCAGUGCAAGACAAGCUUGAGCGUAAUUUCGUUGGCCAGAGCAUUUUGAACACUCUCGCACAAGAUACAUAUCAGCGCAU